AUACGUAGGGGGCGAGCGUUGUCCGGAAUGAUUGGGCGUAAAGGGCGCGUAGGCGGCCCGGUAAGUCUGGAGUGAAAGUCCUGUUUUUAAGAUGGGAAUUGCUUUGGAUACUGUCGGGCUUGAGUGCAGGAGAGGUAAGUGGAAUUCCCAGUGUAGCGGUGAAAUGCGUAGAGAUUGGGAGGAACACCAGUGGCGAAGGCGACUUACUGGACUGUAACUGACGCUGAGGCGCGAAGGUGUGGGGAGCAAACAGGAUUAGAUACCCUGGUAGUCCACACUGUAAACGAUGAAUGCUAGGUGUAGGGGGUAUCGACCCCUUCUGUGCCGCAGUCAACACAAUAAGCAUUCCGCCUGGGGAGUACGGCCGCAAGGUUGAAACUCAAAGGAAUUGACGGGG
This 397-nucleotide ribosomal RNA is filed under the name uncultured bacterium. RNAcentral's name for it is "partial 16S ribosomal RNA". It matches the Rfam family "Bacterial small subunit ribosomal RNA", at positions 523 to 918 of the family's 1533-position model. The record is from RNAcentral.